Molecule: ribosomal RNA, 389 nt
Filed under: uncultured Fusibacter sp.
Lineage: Bacteria; Bacillati; Bacillota; Clostridia; Eubacteriales; Fusibacteraceae
Description: bacterial SSU rRNA
Rfam family: Bacterial small subunit ribosomal RNA
Source: RNAcentral
AUUCUUUUAAUCGAGAUUUUUGCCUUCGGGUACAAUUGAGACAGGUGGUGCAUGGUUGUCGUCAGCUCGUGUCGUGAGAUGUUGGGUUAAGUCCCGCAACGAGCGCAACCCUUGUGUUUAGUUGCAAACAGGUCAAGCUGUGCACUCUAGACAGACUGCCGUGGACAACACGGAGGAAGGUGGGGAUGACGUCAAAUCAUCAUGCCCCUUAUGAUCUGGGCUACACACGUGCUACAAUGGCCGGUACAACGGGCAGCGAAGGAGCGAUCCGGAGCGAAUCCUAAAAAGCCGGUCCCAGUUCGGAUUGCAGGCUGAAACUCGCCUACAUGAAGUUGGAGUUGCUAGUAAUCGCGAAUCAGAAUGUCGCGGUGAAUGCGUUCCCGGGUCUU